GCGGACGUGGCGAAAUCGGUAGACGCAGCAGACUUAAAAUCUGCCGACCAUUGGACUUGCGGGUUCAAGUCCCGCCGUCCGCACCA
RNAcentral lists this transfer RNA (86 nucleotides) under Pseudomonas frederiksbergensis. Its description in RNAcentral is "tRNA-Leu". It matches the Rfam family "tRNA". Rfam says of the family: Transfer RNA (tRNA) molecules are approximately 80 nucleotides in length. Their secondary structure includes four short double-helical elements and three loops (D, anti-codon, and T loops). Further hydrogen bonds mediate the characteristic L-shaped molecular structure. tRNAs have two regions of fundamental functional importance: the anti-codon, which is responsible for specific mRNA codon recognition, and the 3' end, to which the tRNAs corresponding amino acid is attached (by aminoacyl-tRNA synthetases). tRNAs cope with the degeneracy of the genetic code in two manners: having more than one tRNA (with a specific anti-codon) for a particular amino acid; and 'wobble' base-pairing, i.e. permitting non-standard base-pairing at the 3rd anti-codon position. The record is from RNAcentral. Lineage: Bacteria; Pseudomonadati; Pseudomonadota; Gammaproteobacteria; Pseudomonadales; Pseudomonadaceae.